This 253-nucleotide ribosomal RNA is filed under the name uncultured bacterium. Its description in RNAcentral is "partial 16S ribosomal RNA". It matches the Rfam family "Bacterial small subunit ribosomal RNA", at positions 524 to 776 of the family's 1533-position model. The record is from RNAcentral.
UACGUAGGUGGCAAGCGUUGUCCGGAAUUAUUGGGCGUAAAGCGCGCGCAGGCGGUCUCUUAAGUCUGAUGUGAAAUCCCGUGGCUUAACCACGGGCGGUCAUUGGAAACUGGGGGACUUGAGUGCAGAAGAGAAGAGCGGAAUUCCACGUGUAGCGGUGAAAUGCGUAGAGAUGUGGAGGAACACCAGUGGCGAAGGCGGCUCUUUGGUCUGUAACUGACGCUGAGAAGCGAAAGCAUGGGGAGCGAACAGG